AAGUCGUAACAAGGUUUCAGGUGAACCUGCGGAAGGAUCAUUAACACGUAUCCAACGUUAACGCGGCAACAGCAAUCCCGGUAAAUCAUUGACGACCAGUUUUGAUUCGGGACCUCUGUUACGAUGUGAGAAGUUACAGUUACGAUCGAGCGGUAGAGUCAGUGGCAUGGCGUCCCCAAGCAGAAUCCAGAGAAUGAAAGGAUCACUGGCUGCGCAAGGAUAACGCCUCACGGUUGCUAGAGGUCGAUCACCGACCGGCAGACAUGUCACAGGGUCCCCAUGCCCCUUACCUCACCCCAUUACUAAUGACUAGCUUAGCGGUAACGCGCUGAGUAAAAAAAAACCGAACAACUGUUAACAAUGGAUAUCUUGGUUCUC
RNAcentral lists this unclassified non-coding RNA (378 nucleotides) under fungal sp. Its description in RNAcentral is "partial internal transcribed spacer region". The record is from RNAcentral. Lineage: Eukaryota; Fungi.